AGGUGAAUCCGACAUGGGUGAAGCAUCGGCAAAGUGGACCUACCACAAAGUUAUUGAUUUAAACUACUGAGAUCGUCCGUAAGACCAAAAACGUAGGUUGUAGCUUCACGGUCGUAGAUUUGAUUUCACGCGUGGCGCGUUUAGAAAGGCGAAAAGGUGGCGAAAAGCGACAACUUCCACGACGACGUCGCCCGGAAUCGUGGAACGAACGAAAUAACAACGAUCGAAACUUAAAACGGGGCAGCGGCGCCCACGAGUGGCGGUCGACGAUGGGGUGACGAUCAAUUCGUCAAUAAAGUGCGCCACAUUGCUGCUCGAACAGACGGACGUUUCGUUCGUUAAAUACAGAAGCCGUAGAAUCAACAAGUUGUAGCACCGCAUUUCGAAGGGCAUCCACCUUCUCCUGGGGUACCUCUUCAGCCAUAGUUCUAUACAUUUUUCGAAAGAAAAAAAAAUUAGUUCUGUACUGAUAAGGAACAAAGUGAAAAGUAACAAAGUUAAUAACGGUUAACUUACAAUAAUUAUACAGGUUGAUUUGCAACUUUGGGAUGAAAUAAUUGUUAAUUAAAAAAAAUCAAAGUCCACAGCACUCAGCCUUCGAAAACUAACUGGACAAAAAACAUGCAAUUGCAAACGUCAAAAAACCUUCACGGAUUCAUCUUAAACAAAUAAUUAUGUGAGGGCGCCACUGUAUUUGUAAACAAACCCAAUUGAAAUAAUUAAUUAAUUGAUUUAGCCGUUUGUAAUUAUCAAUAAAACUCAUUUCAAUUGUAA
Onthophagus taurus is the source of this 774-nucleotide long non-coding RNA. RefSeq lists it as uncharacterized. The record is from RefSeq and is a predicted model, not a curated record. NCBI's taxonomy places the organism in Eukaryota, Metazoa, Arthropoda, Insecta, Coleoptera, Scarabaeidae.